This 423-nucleotide ribosomal RNA is filed under the name uncultured microorganism. RNAcentral's name for it is "bacterial SSU rRNA". It matches the Rfam family "Bacterial small subunit ribosomal RNA", at positions 9 to 430 of the family's 1533-position model. The record is from RNAcentral.
GAGUUUGAUCCUGGCUCAGAUUGAACGCUGGCGGCAUGCCUUACACAUGCAAGUCGAACGGCAGCAUGAUCUAGCUUGCUAGAUUGAUGGCGAGUGGCGAACGGGUGAGUAAUACAUCGGAACGUGCCCUGUAGUGGGGGAUAACUAGUCGAAAGAUUAGCUAAUACCGCAUACGACCUGAGGGUGAAAGUGGGGGACCGCAAGGCCUCAUGCUAUAGGAGCGGCCGAUGUCUGAUUAGCUAGCUGGUGGGGUAAAGGCCCACCAAGGCGACGAUCAGUAGCUGGUCUGAGAGGACGAUCAGCCACACUGGGACUGAGACACGGCCCAGACUCCUACGGGAGGCAGCAGUGGGGAAUUUUGGACAAUGGGCGAAAGCCUGAUCCAGCAAUGCCGCGUGUGUGAAGAAGGCCUCGGUUGUAAGU